Molecule: long non-coding RNA, 971 nt
Organism: Leptinotarsa decemlineata (Colorado potato beetle)
Lineage: Eukaryota; Metazoa; Arthropoda; Insecta; Coleoptera; Chrysomelidae
Source: RefSeq, a predicted model, not a curated record
AAAGUUUGAAUUUAACCCUAUUUUAUAGUUAUUUUUCUGAAAGCACAAUGGAAAUUAAUGAAGAUCAUAUUCUGUUUUGUGGCCACUGCAAUGUCGGAAUUGGAAAAUUGCCAGAAAUCAUUGCCAAUGAUAUGAUUGCAAAUCAUCCUUGUUUAUCAAACUCAGAAAAUGUCUGACUUUUCAACAAAAAAUAUAUAUUCUGAUGCCAUACCCGAGACCCCUCCAGAUCCAAAAAAUAAUUUUGAAUUGCCCCACCGUUCUAAGAAUUCAGUAGCUAUGACCAGUUCUAAUAGUGUUACUGAAAAAUCAAUAAAUGUUUUCGAGGGAUGGACGGACAAUAUGGUUAAAUUACUAGUCGCUACAUAUAGUAACCAUAAAAGCAAAUUUGAUGGUCCAAAAUUUACCAAAAAAUAAAGGUUUGGAAUUUAAUAAGCCAGGAUUUGAUGGAAAAAAGGAGUCAUUAAAAGUGGUAUCAAAUGUGAUGAAAAGUGGCGUAACCUGAUAAAAACAUAUGACAAAGUAAAGUUACAUUUGAACACUUCAGGAGGGAAUGAGAUUGUAUGGAAAUUUUUUGAUUUACAAAAUAUUUAUUUUAAGGAUCCUUAUUUCGAACCAGUGGCGGUGGCAAGUACUAGUGGAAUCAAGAGGAAGACAGGAGAAAAUACUGAAGCGAGGAACCUAUCACCAGGAGAGAGUAAAAGGCCAAAGAAAUUAAUAUCUUCUCUAGAAAUAGAAAAUAGAAGACAAAAACGACACGAUGAAAAGAUGAGUUUGAAAAGAGAAAUGUUCGAGUGGCUAAAAGAAAAUCACCCGAAAAAAGACUAAUUCUUAUUUGUUUUCAAGUUAUUUAUUCCAAAUGUGGAUUCCAAAGAAUACUUUUUUGUUUUAAAUAUUUUUUGUUGAUUUUGAAUAUUUUUUAUUUACUAUAUUUAUAAUGGUUUUUUAUUUAUGAGAAAUAUAGUUUUUUAUGU